This 265-nucleotide ribosomal RNA is filed under the name uncultured Rickettsia sp. Its description in RNAcentral is "partial 16S ribosomal RNA". It matches the Rfam family "Bacterial small subunit ribosomal RNA", at positions 375 to 657 of the family's 1533-position model. The record is from RNAcentral. Lineage: Bacteria; Pseudomonadati; Pseudomonadota; Alphaproteobacteria; Rickettsiales; Rickettsiaceae.
GCGAAAGCCUGAUCCAGCAAUACCGAGUGAGUGAUGAAGGCCUUAGGGUUGUAAAGCUCUUUUAGCAAGGAAGAUAAUGACGUUACUUGCAGAAAAAGCCCCGGCUAACUCCGUGCCAGCAGCCGCGGUAAGACGGAGGGGGCUAGCGUUGUUCGGAAUUACUGGGCGUAAAGAGUGCGUAGGCGGUUUAGUAAGUUGGAAGUGAAAGCCCGGGGCUUAACCUCGGAAUUGCUUUCAAAACUACUAAUCUAGAGUGUAGUAAGGG